RNAcentral lists this ribosomal RNA (1269 nucleotides) under metagenome. RNAcentral describes it as "bacterial LSU rRNA". It matches the Rfam family "Bacterial large subunit ribosomal RNA", at positions 1644 to 2925 of the family's 2925-position model. The record is from RNAcentral.
GUACCGCAAACCGACACAGGUAGUCGGGUCGAGAAGACCAAGGUGAGCGAGAGAACUCUCGUUAAGGAACUCGGCAAAAUGACCCCGUAACUUCGGGAGAAGGGGUGCUGAUCGCAAGAUCAGCCGCAGUGAAUAGGCCCAGGCGACUGUUUAUCAAAAACACAGGUUUCUGCAAAAUCGUAAGAUGAAGUAUAGGGGCUGACGCCUGCCCGGUGCUGGAAGGUUAAGAGGAUGGGUUAGCGUAAGCGAAGCUCAGAAUUGAAGCCCCAGUAAACGGCGGCCGUAACAAUAACGGUCCUAAGGUAGCGAAAUUCCUUGUCGGGUAAGUUCCGACCCGCACGAAAGGCGUAACGAUCUGGGCACUGUCUCAACGAGAGACUCGGUGAAAUUAUAAUACCCGUGAAGAUGCGGGUUACCCGCGACAGGACGGAAAGACCCCAUGGAGCUUUACUGUAGCUUGAUAUUGGGUGUUUGUACAACUUGUACAGGAUAGGUAGGAGCCGUAGAAGUCGGGACGCUAGUUUCGACGGAGGCAUCGGUGGGAUAUUACCCUCGUUGUAUGAACACUCUAACCCACGCCGGCAAUCACGGCGGGAGACAGUGUCAGGUGGGCAGUUUGACUGGGGCGGUCGCCUCCUAAAAGGUAACGGAGGCGCCCAAAGGUUCCCUCAGAAUGGUUGGAAAUCAUUCGCAGAGUGUAAAGGCAUAAGGGAGCUUGACUGCGAGACCUACAAGUCGAGCAGCACGAAAGUCGGGCUUAGUGAUCCGGUGGUUCCGCAUGGAAGGGCCAUCGCUCAACGGAUAAAAGCUACCCUGGGGAUAACAGGCUUAUCUCCCCCAAGAGUCCACAUCGACGGGGAGGUUUGGCACCUCGAUGUCGGCUCAUCGCAUCCUGGGGCUGUAGUCGGUCCCAAGGGUUGGGCUGUUCGCCCAUUAAAGCGGUACGCGAGCUGGGUUCAGAACGUCGUGAGACAGUUCGGUCCCUAUCCGUCGCGGGCGCAGGAAAUUUGAGAGGAUCUGUCCUUAGUACGAGAGGACCGGGAUGGACAUACCGCUGGUGUACCAGUUGUUCUGCCAAGGGCAUCGCUGGGUAGCUAUGUAUGGAUGAGAUAAACGCUGAAAGCAUCUAAGUGCGAAACUCACCUCGAGAUAAGAUUUCCCACUCCUUUAUGGAGUUAAGACCCCUGAGAGAUGAUCAGGUAGAUAGGAUGGAAGUGGAAGUGCGGCGACGCAUGGAGCGGACCAUUACUAAUCGGUCGAGGACUUAAC